This 382-nucleotide ribosomal RNA is filed under the name uncultured bacterium. RNAcentral describes it as "bacterial SSU rRNA". It matches the Rfam family "Bacterial small subunit ribosomal RNA", at positions 335 to 704 of the family's 1533-position model. The record is from RNAcentral.
ACUCCUACGGGAGGCAGCAGUAGGGAAUCUUCCACAAUGGACGAAAGUCUGAUGGAGCAACGCCGCGUGAGUGAAGAAGGGUUUCGGCUCGUAAAAACUCUGUUGUUAAAGAAGAACAUAUCUGAGAGUAACUGUUCAGGUAUUGACGGUAUUUAACCAGAAAGCCACGGCUAACUACGUGCCAGCAGCCGCGGUAAUACGUAGGUGGCAAGCGUUGUCCGGAUUUAUUGGGGCGUAAAGCGAGCGCAGGCGGUUUUUAAGUCUGAUGUGAAAGCCUUCGGUCUCAACCGAAGAAGGUGCAUCGGAAACUAGGGAAACUUAGAGUGCAGAAGAGGACAGUGGAACUCCAUGUGUAGCGGUGAAAUGCGUAGAUAUAUGGAAG